Molecule: small nuclear RNA, 103 nt
Organism: Ictidomys tridecemlineatus (thirteen-lined ground squirrel)
Lineage: Eukaryota; Metazoa; Chordata; Mammalia; Rodentia; Sciuridae
Source: Ensembl
CUGCUUCAGCAGCACCUACACUAAAGUUGGAACGAUACAGAGAGGAUUAGAUUGGCCCUUGCGCAUGGAUGACAAGCAAAUUCGUGAAGUGUUCCGUAUUUUU